UCUCCGUAGGUGAACCUGCGGAGGGAUCAUUACAGAGUUCAUGCCCUACCGGGUAGAUCUCCCACCCUAUGUUAUUAUUACUUUGUUGCUUUGGCGGGCCGUUAGGCUCCGGCCCGACUACCGGCCCCGGCUGGUAAGCGCCCGCCAGAGGACCCAAAACCCUGAAUAUUAGUGUCGUCUGAGUACUAUACAAUAGUUAAAACUUUCAACAACGGAUCUCUUGGUCCUG
Molecule: unclassified non-coding RNA, 229 nt
Filed under: plant metagenome
Description: partial contains small subunit ribosomal RNA, internal transcribed spacer 1, and 5.8S ribosomal RNA
Source: RNAcentral